CAGACAUUCACAAAUCCUUUCCUAUUCCUCUGAUCUACAGCUGGACCCCAUCCUCUAAGCAAACUUAAGCACAUUGUAUUCUAAUCAUUGUUUUCUUGUACUCACACGUCACAUAUUUUUCCCUAAAGAAUAAAGCCUUUAAGCUGUAAUUCUGGAAAUAUGACUUAAAUCAUGAGCAGCUAAAUACAAGUAUGUGCAGCAUGCUUCCAUGCUCCAAACAAAAAGGACAAUCUACCAAAUUUAAGAACAGAGGAGCUGAUUAUACAGUUUCCAAAUUGUAAGCAAUUGGAGUGGAUGAUAAUGUAGCUCCUGACUGACUUUUCUGACUUCGAAGUUUGCUGGAACAUGUCGAACAAAUAACAGCUUUGACAAUCAUGCUACAUAAUUAAAUAGAAUAUAUCAUUACAUUAAAAAUUACACAUUUGGAUAUAAGGUGGUUUUCCACUCCCUUUUAUUAUUUCCUAUAUCCCCAUUUUUAUUUAAAUAAUAUAAUUUACUGUAUUAUUGCCUGUGGUGAUCAAUUUUACCCAUAUUUACCAUGUUAAGGCCUUACUUGAGGGUUGUUGGAAGUGCCCAAAUUUUGUGGAAAUAGUUUAGCAGAUGAAGUCAUAAUGUGUAAUAGUGUGUGGUGUCGGUGCAUACAUGCAGUCUUUGACCAGCAGACUGUGCUCCCUGCCUCGUCUCUCAGGCUCAUACAGCAACUAGAACUUCCUGAGCAGCAACGCCCCCUGCAGUUUGUAGGUCAGGCCCAGCACUACUUCACUCCAACAUGUUCAGGGUGUGGCUGAUCUCAAAAGUCUCCAUCAAGAACAGAUGUAAUAGAUGCUGCAAUGACAUGUAUAAGAGUUUUGCUUAAUCAACGUAAUCUAUAGAUGAAACAGACCCCUGUCACUGUAAAACUGAUGCAGUUUCAUCUGUUCAUUAGUUCAUCACUGAAUGAUGAAGCUGUGGUGGACCACUAGAGGGCUCCACUCACACCCAGUGUUGAGGAAGUGUGUUCUUCUGUUUUGUGGCGCGAUAUGUGCAGUUGAUGUUGGAGACAAAUAAAGAAGGAGUGUGAA
Molecule: long non-coding RNA, 1061 nt
Filed under: Oreochromis niloticus (Nile tilapia)
Lineage: Eukaryota; Metazoa; Chordata; Actinopteri; Cichliformes; Cichlidae
Description: lncRNA (ENSONIG00000036979.1)
Source: RNAcentral